GCUGGGCACUGUGAUGCAUGCCUGUAAUCCAAGCAGCCUGGGAAACUGAGGCAGGAGGAUCACAAGUUCAAAGCCAGAAUCAGCAACUUAGUGAGGCCCUAAGCAACUCAGUGAGAUCCUAUCUCUA
RNAcentral lists this small RNA (127 nucleotides) under Marmota monax (woodchuck). Lineage: Eukaryota; Metazoa; Chordata; Mammalia; Rodentia; Sciuridae. The record is from RNAcentral.